Camellia sinensis is the source of this 804-nucleotide non-coding RNA. The record is from RefSeq and is a predicted model, not a curated record. Lineage: Eukaryota; Viridiplantae; Streptophyta; Magnoliopsida; Ericales; Theaceae.
CAAAGUUUUCUUAAAGUUUUCCUAUCAAGCACCUAUUUUAUAAUUUUGAUUCACAUUUCGGCCUUCAUUGUUGUUUUCCAUUUUUGCUUCCUUUGCAACCAUGGAAUAAAGUAGAAGUAAGUUCAUUUAUAGAAAAUUCAAUAUGACCGCUUCACAAGGAGAUGAAAAUAACCAACAAUGCUUAGAUGUGCAAGGAGAUGGUAGACAUCCCAAAUGAAACACGAUGUUUAAGUGGAAACAGAUUACGACUAUUUGACCUUUGUUGGCAUGUAUUAUGAUGGCCUUGUAUUUGAAGGUUCACUAUUAAGUUUAUGCUCAAUUUUAGUACAUUUUGAGUUCAUUUCAGUCGUGUUGUGUAGGCGUGCUUUGAAGGUAACCCAUUUAAGACAAUUCCUGGUCCUUUCAAGCUCUUCUAACAAUGCAUGCGCUCAAAACCUGGCGAAGAACCAACGGAACCAUUUGUAAUUGGUCCCACCAACAAGAGAAGUGAAGCUUGAGUGAUGCUCAUCUCCAAAUGCCACAUAUCUACUUUUAGGUUGGACCCUUAUGCCCUCAUAAUUUCAAGUUUUGUUAUCGUUGCCUGAUACGCUAAUAUGGCAUAUAUUUCGGCUUUCAAGUUCAAAAUAAUAUGAUUUUUCACGUUGUGGUGGAAAAGCUUGUUUUGAGUAAACUAGUCGAUUGAUGACACUUUUAAUUCUUCCUUUGAUAAGCAGCACUUGUGACCAUUCAAAUUCCCUCUAGCUUCCUUACAUUUUCUCCCCUAACAAGUCAGUGUGUCUUUUACAAUCCCACUUAUUUUCAGAA